CGUUAAGCCUUACCUGCUUUGUCUAUCCAGGCACGGUAGCCAUUCAACUCUCGCUCUAUCUGUUGCUGGCGCCGCAGCUUCAUGAAUGCUCUUCGGUUCUCCACUCUCUCUCUUUCUUUGGCAAAUUCCCUGUGGACAACAAGGAGGACAGUCCCCUGAAUUUGCACAAUGCCAUGAUGAAAAGAAAGAGUGUAGCAAGAACGAGUAUUUGAUAGUUUCUGUUCACCCCAUUUCGUUCAUCUCCUUUCUCUUUAUCCAAGCUGCAAGAUGAUCUCCCUCUAGUGUUCUACAGAAGGGAGUCACAUCCACCUCAGGCAUGAGGACUCCCCAUCCUUAGCCCUGCUUGCUCUGUACUAAAAGGAACUUUUUUUUAGUUAUGUGACAAACUGCUUCAGAAUGCCUCAGUCCAUGUCUUCAGCCAUAAUGGAAUCCUUCAACCUCUCAAAGACACUGUUCUCCUUCAUGCUUUUGAGUGUCUUCUGACUUGGUCUUAUCAUUCCCUCAGUGUCCAGAACUGAUGUGAUGCUUAGAAGGAACUCAACUAAUAUUUACUGAAUGAACAAACACAGAAGAAACUUUUCAUACAGGACUUUGGGAGCAGUUUGGAAGCAUCAAGGAGCUGUCACCCUAGACUACAACCUCCACCCCAGAAGAGAGUUCUAAAACCUUUCAAAGUUCUUCACUAAGCCUAUUCAUACAUUUCUACCCAGGAGUAGAUAGGCUCCUCACAGUGUGGUUAUGUUCAGAGUCUAUGGACCAAACACCAUCAGCACACUCUUUGCUGUCCCUCCUCAAUGAGACACAUUCAGAACUGAAAAGCACUCAGUAACUUUCAGAACAAUUGGACAGAAAUUUUAUGUCUGUUAAAUAUAAGAAUAAAAAU
Molecule: long non-coding RNA, 883 nt
Organism: Peromyscus eremicus (cactus mouse)
Lineage: Eukaryota; Metazoa; Chordata; Mammalia; Rodentia; Cricetidae
Exons: 3
Source: RefSeq, a predicted model, not a curated record